Molecule: microRNA, 21 nt
Filed under: anatid alphaherpesvirus 1
Lineage: Duplodnaviria; Heunggongvirae; Peploviricota; Herviviricetes; Herpesvirales; Orthoherpesviridae
Description: dev-miR-D17-5p
Gene: dev-miR-D17-5p
Source: miRBase by way of RNAcentral
UGCAACGAAGGCGAACGGUUG